ACGGGAGGCAGCAGUGGGGGAUAUUGCACAAUGGGGGAAACCCUGAUGCAGCGACGCCGCGUGAGUGAUGAAGUAUUUCGGUAUGUAAAGCUCUAUCAGCAGGGAAGAAAAUGACGGUACCUGACUAAGAAGCUCCGGCUAAAUACGUGCCAGCAGCCGCGGUAAUACGUAUGGAGCAAGCGUUAUCCGGAUUUACUGGGUGUAAAGGGAGCGUAGACGGCGUGGCAAGUCUGAUGUGAAAGCUAUGGGCUCAACCCAUAAACUGCAUUGGAAACUGUCAUGCUAGAGUGUCGGAGAGGUAAGCGGAAUUCCUAGUGUAGCGGUGAAAUGCGUAGAUAUUAGGAGGUACACCAGUGGCGAAGGCGACUUUCUGGACUGUAACUGACACUGAGGUACGAAAGCGUGGGGAGCAAACAGGAUUAGAUACCCUGGUA
RNAcentral lists this ribosomal RNA (434 nucleotides) under uncultured Ruminococcus sp. RNAcentral describes it as "partial 16S ribosomal RNA". It matches the Rfam family "Bacterial small subunit ribosomal RNA", at positions 341 to 792 of the family's 1533-position model. The record is from RNAcentral. Lineage: Bacteria; Bacillati; Bacillota; Clostridia; Eubacteriales; Oscillospiraceae.